Molecule: transfer RNA, 73 nt
Filed under: Paramuricea clavata
Lineage: Eukaryota; Metazoa; Cnidaria; Anthozoa; Malacalcyonacea; Plexauridae
Rfam family: tRNA
About the family: Transfer RNA (tRNA) molecules are approximately 80 nucleotides in length. Their secondary structure includes four short double-helical elements and three loops (D, anti-codon, and T loops).
Source: Rfam by way of RNAcentral
GACCGCGUAGCUCAGUUGGCAAAGCAUCGGUCUAGUAUUCCAAAGGUCGUAGGUUCGAUUCCCACCGUGGCCG